RNAcentral lists this ribosomal RNA (404 nucleotides) under Actinomycetes bacterium. RNAcentral's name for it is "Actinobacteria bacterium partial 16S ribosomal RNA". It matches the Rfam family "Bacterial small subunit ribosomal RNA", at positions 355 to 776 of the family's 1533-position model. The record is from RNAcentral. Lineage: Bacteria; Bacillati; Actinomycetota; Actinomycetes.
UGGGGAAUAUUGGACAAUGGGCGCAAGCCUGAUCCAGCCAUGCCGCGUGAGUGAUGAAGGCCCUAGGGUUGUAAAGCUCUUUCACCGGUGAAGAUAAUGACGGUAACCGGAGAAGAAGCCCCGGCUAACUUCGUGCCAGCAGCCGCGGUAAUACGAAGGGGGCUAGCGUUGUUCGGAUUUACUGGGCGUAAAGCGCACGUAGGCGGACUUUUAAGUCAGGGGUGAAAUCCCGGGGCUCAACCCCGGAACUGCCUUUGAUACUGGAAGUCUUGAGUAUAGUAGAGGUGAGUGGAAUUCCGAGUGGAGAGGUGAAAUUCGUAGAUAUUCGGAGGAACACCAGUGGCGAAGGCGGCUCACUGGACCAUUACUGACGCUGAGGUGCGAAAGCGUGGGGAGCAAACAGG